Molecule: unclassified non-coding RNA, 693 nt
Filed under: uncultured marine bacterium
Lineage: Bacteria
Description: partial contains 16S ribosomal RNA, 16S-23S ribosomal RNA intergenic spacer, and 23S ribosomal RNA
Rfam family: Bacterial small subunit ribosomal RNA (bases 1-112)
Source: RNAcentral
GAAGUCGUUACUCCAACCCUUGUGGAGGAGGACGCCGAAGGUGGGGCUAAUGACUGGGGUGAAGUCGUAACAAGGUAGCCGUACCGGAAGGUGCGGCUGGAUCACCUCCUAACAGGGAGACAACAAAAUGUAAAUAUUAAUUUUGUCACCUUAGGUCGAUCGGUAUCUCACAUUCUUAAUUUUUAAGAAUAUCAGUUUCUAAGUUUUUCUAGGUCACACCCAUCACUUUUUCCUGGGCCAUUAGCUCAGGUGGUUAGAGCGCACCCCUGAUAAGGGUGAGGUCCCUGGUUCAAGUCCAGGAUGGCCCAUAUCUCUAUGUUGGGGGUAUAGCUCAGUUGGUAGAGCGCCUGCUUUGCAAGCAGGAUGUCAGCGGUUCGAGUCCGCUUACCUCCACUGAAUACCACCUCUUACAUAUUUUGAGGGAGGGAAAUUGUUUUGAGUGGUGUCCUAUUUUACUCUGAGCGAAUCUAGCUUCCUAUUUUUAUUUAGUAAAUAAGAUGCUGGACUCAUUGAAUUUCUAUUCAUUGUUUUCAGAGAACCUUGACAACUGCAUAGAUUAUUUUUGAAGACAAUAAGCAUCUUUAAUGAUGCAGAUUUAUUAUUUGUGCGAAUGCAUUAAAUAACAAUUCUAUUAAGCUGAUGCUUCAAUUAUUGAAGUUAUUGGUCAAGCUACAAAGGGCUCACGGAGGAUAC